GGUGGUUGAAAAAGUUGGUGGUGAAAUCCCAGAGCUUAACUCUGGAACUGCCAUCAAAACUUUUCAGCUAGAGUAUGAUAGAGGAAAGCAGAAUUUCUAGUGUAGAGGUGAAAUUCGUAGAUAUUAGAAAGAAUACCAAUUGCGAAGGCAGCUUUCUGGAUCAUUACUGACACUGAGGAACGAAAGCAUGGGUAGCGAAGAGGAUUAGAUACCCUCGUAGUCCAUGCCGUAAACGAUGUGUGUUAGACGUUGGAAAUUUAUUUUCAGUGUCGCAGGGAAACCGAUAAACACACCGCCUGGGGAGUACGACCGCAAGGUUAAAACUCAAAUGAAUUGACGGGGACCCGCACAAGUAGUGGAGCAUGUGGUUUAAUUCGAAGAUACGCGCAGAACCUUACCAACACUUGACAUGUUCGUCGCGACUCUAAGAGAUUAGAGUUUUCGGUUCGGCCGGACGAAACACAGGUGCUGCAUGGCUGUCGUCAGCUCGUGUCGUGAGAUGUUGGGUUAAGUCCCGUAACGAGCGCAACCCCUAUCCUUAUUUGCCAGCACAUCAUGGUGGGAACUAUAAGGAGACUGCCGGUGAUAAACCGGAGGAAGGCGGGGACGACGUCAAGUCAUCAUGGCCCUUACGACCAGGGCUACACACGUGCUACAAUGGGAAGGACAAAGAGCCGCGAAGCCGCGAGGUGUAGCUAAUCUCAGAAACCUUUUCGUAGUCCGGAUUGGAGUCUGCAACUCGACUCCAUGAA
Molecule: ribosomal RNA, 752 nt
Filed under: uncultured marine bacterium
Lineage: Bacteria
Description: bacterial SSU rRNA
Rfam family: Bacterial small subunit ribosomal RNA
Source: RNAcentral